AGCCACUUGGAAGACUACACUAAGAGUCUGCAGCCAGGAGACAGGAUGCAAAGAGCACUUAGCAUUUCGGAAACCGUUUGCUGUUUUCUAUGGAGAGGCUCCCUUCCUAGUCCCAACCAGAAUUUGGAAUCGAUUGAAAAAUUUGGAAUCAAUUGAAAAAGAAGACAUAGAAGACUAACUAAUGGAGGUGCCCUGGGUUUGGCUCCCCACCACCCAGUGAAGUAUGUGUGGGACACAACCCAAAUCAAAGCCAACAAGUCACUGCCCAAACAUCCAGGGCCGAGGGAAAAGGAGCAACAUGUUCUCACCACACGCCACUUCAGAACCAGAACCUUAGGAAAUUCUGCUGCGUCGGGAGGCGCCUUGGGCACCCGAUGCACGGACGACAGACGUGUGUUCCUACUUCCAAGAAGCUUCAACCAUCCAGAGAGGGAGACGAAGUCAGCGCGGAAGCUUUGCUAGGGCAGGAGCCAGGCCAGACGGAGAGCUAACCCUGUCCCCUCCUUCAGGGCUCUGUGACCAGAGGCAAGUUAUUUAACCUUGGUGACCCACGGCCUUCUAUCUCAGGAAUGGGAAGAUGCCAUUUUCACAGGGUUGUUGUAAGGAUUAAAUGAGAUUUUCCCAAACCUCAGGUAUUGGCACCUCCCCUUUAAAAUGUUUGCUUCAUCUCCCCGCAACGUGGGCAAUCAGUUCAUUCACAUCACCACCCACUUUCGCUUCCUCCUAAGUGGCAAUAUCUGUGAAAUCUCGGGUUUGGUGUGUGAGUCCUAUUUUUUGGUUUCCUAAUGGACACUAAAGCAAAUGCACAUGGCCACAGGCACAUGAAAAGAUGCUCUACGUCGCUCCUCAUCAGGGAAAUACAAAUCAAAACCACACUCAGAU
This is a long non-coding RNA of Prionailurus viverrinus (fishing cat), 882 nucleotides long. RefSeq lists it as uncharacterized. The transcript is spliced from 4 exons. The record is from RefSeq and is a predicted model, not a curated record. NCBI's taxonomy places the organism in Eukaryota, Metazoa, Chordata, Mammalia, Carnivora, Felidae.